Molecule: ribosomal RNA, 810 nt
Filed under: uncultured soil bacterium
Lineage: Bacteria
Description: bacterial SSU rRNA
Rfam family: Bacterial small subunit ribosomal RNA
Source: RNAcentral
GGAGUUUGAUCCUGGCUCACAGCGAACGCUGGCGGCGUGCUUAACACAUGCGAGUCGAGUGCGCGUGCCCUACCACUACUGUAUGACGCACGGUGCACGGGUGCGUGACACGUGGGCAAUCUGCCCUUCGAUGGAGAAUAACUCCGGGAAACCGAAGCUAAUUCCGCAUAACAUUCCGAGGACUACCGUUUUUGGAUUCAAAGGCGUAAGUCGUCCAAGGAGGAGCCCGUGCACGAUUAGUUAGUUGGUAGGGUAACGGCCUACCAAGGCUAUGAUCGUUAGCUGGUCUGAGAGGAUGGCCAGCCACACUGGAACUGACACACGGUCCAGACUCCUACGGGAGGCAGCAAUGGGGAAUCUUGCACAAUGGGCGAAAGCCUGAUGCAUCGACCCCCCGUGGGGGAUGAAGCUUUUCGGAGUGUAAACCCCUUUCGACCCGGACGAAUGCCCCGCACGGGGACUGACUGUACGGGUAUAAGAAGCCCCGGCUAACUACUUGCCAGCAUCCGCGGUAAGACGUAGGGGGCCAGCGUUGCUCGGAAUUACUGGGUGUAAAGGGUUCGUACGCAGUGUGGCAAGUUGGGAGUGAAAUCUCUGGGCUCAAUCCAGAGGCUGCUUCCAAAACUGCUGUGCUUGAUGUGGAGAGGCACGUGGAAUUGCAUGUGUGGCUAUGAGAUGCAUAAUAUCUGCUGAACACCCGUGGGAAAAGCAGCGCGCUGGAUCACUACUGAUCCUGAGGAACGAAAGCUAGGGGAGCAAACAUGAUUAGUACCCUGGUUGCCCUACCCCUAUAUCAUCAGGACUCGGGGG